Molecule: ribosomal RNA, 232 nt
Filed under: uncultured soil bacterium
Lineage: Bacteria
Description: partial 16S ribosomal RNA
Rfam family: Bacterial small subunit ribosomal RNA
Source: RNAcentral
AGAUUGAACGCUGGCGGCAUGCUUUACACAUGCAAGUCGUGCGGCAGCGCGGGGGCAACCCUGGCGGCGAGCGGCGAACGGGUGAGGAAUACAUCGGAACGUACCCCGGAGUGGGGGAUAACCCAGCGAAAGUUGGACUAAUACCGCAUAUGCUCUGAGGAGGAAAGCGAGGGGACUUCGCAAGAGGCCUUGCGCUCGUGGGAGCGGCCGAUGUCCGAUUUAGCUAGUUGGG